UACGAAGGGGGCUAGCGUUGUUCGGAAUUACUGGGCGUAAAGCGUGCGCAGGCGGCUCAUCAAGUCAGAGGUGAAAGCCCUGGGCUCAACCCGGGAACUGCCCUUGAAACUACAUGUCUUGAGUACGGGAGAGGGUGGCGGAAUACCCAGUGUAGAGGUGAAAUUCGUAGAUAUUGGGUAGAACACCAGUGGCGAAGGCGGCCACCUGGCCCGUAACUGACGCUGAGGCGCGAAAGCGUGGGGAGCAAACAGG
This 253-nucleotide ribosomal RNA is filed under the name uncultured bacterium. RNAcentral's name for it is "partial 16S ribosomal RNA". It matches the Rfam family "Bacterial small subunit ribosomal RNA", at positions 524 to 776 of the family's 1533-position model. The record is from RNAcentral.